This 669-nucleotide long non-coding RNA is filed under the name Marmota monax (woodchuck). Lineage: Eukaryota; Metazoa; Chordata; Mammalia; Rodentia; Sciuridae. The record is from RNAcentral.
UGUCAAGCAGCACUUAUUUAGUGCCUACUGCAUACAAGGUGCUAUGCUUACCCCUGAGGUUAUGAACAGUAUUAAUCUGGUGGCGAAGGAGACAGAUGCCGGCAGACCUGGGAGGGGAAGGUGGAGGGAUUCAAUUCUGUCUGCAGCUGCCCAGAGCUUCCUCCUAGGCUGCGGGAUAGGUAGGGGUCCAGGGCCCUGGGAUUCUCCCGACUCUUCAAAGACUCUAACUAAGGAUACAGGGAAUGGAAAAUGCUGUGGCCUCGCCAGUUCUGCAGAUUGCUGUCCCAUCCAGGAAGCACACACAAAGAUGUCCCGGGCCUGAGGAAGGAAUAUAGGGAUGAGGAAGAGGAAGGCUUCAACUGCUCAGACUUUUCCUCAGGUGAAAGGGGGUCCCUAGUGUGGUCUGCCCAGGGCUCUGAGUUGGUCCUUUGCAGAAAUUCACUGGGGCCUUCCUGGUACUUGAACCAACUCCUUUCCACAAGGCUGGAAAGAAAAUAAGUUCAUUUGCCCUUUCAGAGGCGGCAAGGUACACUGGGAAAACCACAGAAUCUAGGGUCGAAUAAGCAGAAGGGUCUCCAGACAUGUUAUCUUUGAGAAGCCACUUAACCUCUCUGUAUCCGGAGGGGGGGGCGGGGAACUAAUAAAAUCUACUUUCAGGGAUGAGUGAGA